This 433-nucleotide ribosomal RNA is filed under the name uncultured bacterium. Its description in RNAcentral is "partial 16S ribosomal RNA". It matches the Rfam family "Bacterial small subunit ribosomal RNA", at positions 29 to 507 of the family's 1533-position model. The record is from RNAcentral.
AACGAACGCUGGCGGCAUGCCUAACACAUGCAAGUCGAACGAGACCUUCGGGUCUAGUGGCGCACGGGUGCGUAACGCGUGGGAACCUGCCCUUAGGUUCGGAAUAACUCCCCGAAAGGGGUGCUAAUACCGGAUCAUUUCUUCGGACCAAAGAUUUAUCGCCUUUGGAUGGGCCCGCGUUGGAUUAGCUAGUUGGUAGGGUAAAAGCCUACCAAGGCGACGAUCCAUAGCUGGUCUGAGAGGAUGAUCAGCCACACUGGGACUGAGACACGGCCCAGACUCCUGCGGGAGGCAGCAGUGGGGAAUAUUGGACUAUGGGCGAAAGCCUGAUCCAGCAAUGCCGCGUGAGUGCUGAAGGCCUUAGGGUUGUAAAGCUCUUUUACCCCGGAUGAUAAUGACAGUACCGGGAGAAUAAGCUCCGGCUAACUCCGUG